CUACUGCUCCAGAAGGCAGUGGUGUGGUCAAGAAGCAAAGUCAUAGUUUACAUGGAAGAUCACUAAUUGUCAUGGAGCUUGCUGAUGAUUUGGUUGUAGAUGAAAGGCAAUGCAGAAACUUCUACUCUUCAAGAAACCACAUGUCACCUGGAAGUAAAGUUAUUGUGACAAGCAGAUCAGAGAAUAUAAUGAAACUUGGUACUACAGCAGCUCUUAAGUUGGAUUUUUUAUCUCAGGAAGCUUACUGGUACUUCUUCAAAGUGAUGGCUUUUGGAAGCACAAAUCCUGAUGACCACCCAGCGCUAGCAUCAAUAGCUAUGGAAAUUGCAGCAGGGCUUCAAGGAGGUUUCUUGGGUGCACAUGCCAUCUGCGGCUUUCUAAGAGCUAAUAUCCACAAUUGGUUUUGGAACAUGAUCCUUGAAUGUCAGAGAAACAAUAUAGAGAGGAAUAUCCUCAUCUUUGGUGAACAUCCACAGUCUCUUCUUUGGAAGAGCCAGAUUGCAUAUGUUUGGACUCUGUCCAACAUUUCCGUGAGGGUCAAAGUUCUUCAUUUUCAAACACGUUCCCCUCUGAAUGAUGUCCGAAA
This 586-nucleotide long non-coding RNA is filed under the name Setaria italica (foxtail millet). Its description in RNAcentral is "long non-coding RNA (SITA_LNC003963)". Lineage: Eukaryota; Viridiplantae; Streptophyta; Magnoliopsida; Poales; Poaceae. The record is from RNAcentral.